Cottoperca gobio is the source of this 825-nucleotide long non-coding RNA. RefSeq lists it as uncharacterized. The record is from RefSeq and is a predicted model, not a curated record. NCBI's taxonomy places the organism in Eukaryota, Metazoa, Chordata, Actinopteri, Perciformes, Bovichtidae. The transcript is spliced from 2 exons.
AGAGAGGAUGCUGCGAACAUAGCAAGCUGUCGCGGAGACGGGGGAGAAAACCCGAGCGCUCAAAAUUAAACUGCGCUUUUAGAGAGGAGAACCACGUAAUUUCAAUGGAAACACAGGUGACGAACCUCCUUGCCUGCUUUAUGAUUGGACAGAAGACUUAAAUCUGUGAAAAGAUGCUGAUGAUCAUCUGAACAUCUUUUAGGUAGAUAAAUAAUAGGCCAUAAGUCCAUAGCCAUCUGUGAUGGUGACACAGAAGCAACAAGGAUGAAGACCGGCACAAAUACAACACAGAAGAUGACAAGAGCUGGAAGUGGAGCGACCAUGACUGCAGCUCUGGCGAUACUGUAGCAGCACGGAAUGGUUUGUGGGUUACACUGAGAUGCAGGCCAUACUGUGCUGCCGCAGUAAAGCCUGAAUAUACAACCCGGCUGACACAUUGCAGUUCUUCAACCUGUUGAAGCUGACUUGUUUACUGUCGCUCUUGGAUUUAGUCUCCACUAUCCGAAGUAAUGCCACAUAAGGCAACUGUUUAAAAAGUGAGUUGGAUUUGCCUUUCUCUUUUUCUGGUCGCCUUACUGUAGCAGCACGUAAAUAUUGGAGUUAAGACUCUAGCUGAAGCCUCCAGUAUUGAUCGUGCUGCUGAAGCAAAGCUGACCAAUCACAAUCAGCGCAACCAACCACUACUCACCCUGGUGGUGUCUUAGUGCUGCAGAGAUGCUCACAGGUACAUCGUUCACACAGAUGUAGAGUUAAAAUGUGUAAACACUGUCUUUUUACAUUUCACUGUUCUGUCUCCACACUUGAGAAAUAAAAUUUGAAAUUGGC